ACAUGUUUUUGGAGUGGCGAGGAACCCUUUAGAAACUAUUUGGGGUGGGUUUUGAAAGUCUCUUGUGAGGAUUCCACUGCUUUUGAAUCUGGUGCCUUAGGUAAAGCUCUUCGCGUAGAUUUCUGUUACAGUAACACCAAAUAUAGCAGGGAAAGUGAAGAGCACUGGCUAUGCUGAUUUAGUAACGAGUUUCCUCUACAGCAAAGUUGUGAUUAGUUACUGUUUCUUCUUAGGACAAACCUAUCUUGGGCUGUGGGUUUCUUUCCCAAUAAUUCACCAUUUAUUAUAGCAAUGCCUAGUAAAACUAGCUUAUGUUAUCUCUAGGCAUACUUAAAAAAACCCAAACAGUUUGAUUACUUCCUGAUCGUGUUUAAGAUGGAAUCUGAGCAAAAUGCCUCUCCCUGGCCCCACUCAGCACAGCAGAAUAACAGUGUGCAGUGCUCAGAGAAAUGAGUAUGUCAAGACCCAGAGAGUGAAUCUAGAUUUCAGCUCUGAAUUACUAAUAGUUCGUGGCUUUGAAACGUUGCCAGAUGUUAGCACUUACAAAAGAAGCUCCUGUCAGUGUAAAUUAAAACAGAAGAUUCUCCUCUUUUCUGCCAUGUUCAGCUGCUGAUAGAAGUUAUUCAUUCACAUGGAUCGUGGAAGGGUGGAGGUCCUUUGGAGGAAGACUCAAAUGACGUGACACAAAGC
This is a long non-coding RNA of Harpia harpyja (harpy eagle), 690 nucleotides long. RefSeq lists it as uncharacterized. The record is from RefSeq and is a predicted model, not a curated record. The transcript is spliced from 3 exons. NCBI's taxonomy places the organism in Eukaryota, Metazoa, Chordata, Aves, Accipitriformes, Accipitridae.